This 497-nucleotide ribosomal RNA is filed under the name uncultured bacterium. RNAcentral's name for it is "partial 16S ribosomal RNA". It matches the Rfam family "Bacterial small subunit ribosomal RNA", at positions 28 to 507 of the family's 1533-position model. The record is from RNAcentral.
GAUGAACGCUGGCGGCGUGCCUAAUACAUGCAAGUCGAGCGAACAGACGAGGAGCUUGCUCCUCUGACGUUAGCGGCGGACGGGUGAGUAACACAUGGAUAACCUACCAAUAAGACUGGGAUAACUUCGGGAAACCGGAGCUAAUACCGGAUAAUAUAUUGAACCGCAUGGUUCAAUAGUGAAAGACGGUUUUGCUGUCACUUAUAGAUGGAUCCGCGCCGCAUUAGCUAGUUGGUAAGGUAACGGCUUACCAAGGCGACGAUGCGUAGCCGACCUGAGAGGGUGAUCGGCCACACUGGAACUGAGACACGGUCCAGACUCCUACGGGAGGCAGCAGUAGGGAAUCUUCCGCAAUGGGCGAAAGCCUGACGGAGCAACGCCGCGUGAGUGAUGAAGGUCUUCGGAUCGUAAAACUCUGUUAUUAGGGAAGAACAAAUGUGUAAGUAACUAUGCACGUCUUGACGGUACCUAAUCAGAAAGCCACGGCUAACUACGUG